GAUGAACGCUGGCGGCGUGCUUAACACAUGCAAGUCGAACGGAAAGGCCCAAGCUUGCUUGGGUACUCGAGUGGCGAACGGGUGAGUAACACGUGGGUGAUCUGCCCUGCACUUCGGGAUAAGCCUGGGAAACUGGGUCUAAUACCGGAUAGGACCACACUUUGGGUGGAGAGGUGGAGAGCUUUGCGGCGUGGGCUGAGGGGGCGGCCUAUCAGCUUGUUGGUGGGGUAAUGGCCGACGACGUAGGCGACGGGUAGCCGGCCUGAGAGGGUGUACGGGCACAAGAGGACUGCGAUACGGCCCAGACUGCAACAUGAGGCAGCAGUGGGGAAUAUGACACAAUGGGCGCGAGCGUGAGGCAGCGACGCCGCGUGGGUGAUGACGGCCUGCUGGGUAUGAACAGCUUUCGCUAGGGACGAAGCGCAAGUGACGGUACCUGGAGAAGAAGCACCGGCUAACUACGUG
RNAcentral lists this ribosomal RNA (465 nucleotides) under uncultured bacterium. Its description in RNAcentral is "partial 16S ribosomal RNA". It matches the Rfam family "Bacterial small subunit ribosomal RNA", at positions 28 to 507 of the family's 1533-position model. The record is from RNAcentral.